GGAGCCUGGGCUGUCCUUUGUUGGAGGGCACGAUGCACCAUAGAUUUUUAUUUUCACGAAACAGACUCCAGAGGUUUGUGGCCUUCCAGACAACAGCUGGCACCGGGCAGAGGCACAGCCUACGGCCUGAGCUGCUGGCGACUGCAUCGCGCUUGGCCGUGCGUCCCAGGCUGCGCUGGCCAGCACCGCAGCCAGAGAGCUUCCCGCUCCGAGCAGGAGCGGACGCUGUUCGUCUCUGGAGGGGCCAUGGUGCUCGCGACUGGCUGUUCCUCCUUAUAUUUGGGGGAAAGGAGCUGGUUUGAAGGAAAGGAGGGAUUAAGUUUGUAAAAGCGUUGGCUCCUCCUUAUAACUCUGGUGCCUAAAGGGGGUGAGAUGAUAGCCAAAUAAAACGAAGAGAGAUGACCCCGUUUUGAGUGAGGAGGAUUUCUGGAUGAGCCGGCGAUAUGUCCUGCAACUGUCGAUUUGGCAGAUUUGACUCAAUCAACUGACAAUUGGUUCCCACUUCAAACACACCUCCCUCAGCCUAGUGCUCUAACCGACUCCCCAGACUCGGGGUGGGGACCAAGCAGAACAAGAGAAUCAAAAGUCAGCCUUCUUUUGGUCUCUGCUCGUGCACAACUGGUUUGGUUCUGAGCAGGCUGAUGUUUGAGAGGAAAAGCCAGGACUGCUUGGGCUCUUUGGCGGGAUUUGAGUGUGUAUGCUGGGAGGGGGGCGGGUAGGAAGAGGUGGGAGCAGAGUUAGGCUGAGUACUGAGCGAAGCCCCUUAUUUUGCGUCCCAGCUGCCCUUCCAGCCCCCAGCGCCCAGCCCCCGCCGCGGCUGGGUGAAGAGGAGGGGUCGAG
Molecule: long non-coding RNA, 840 nt
Filed under: Homo sapiens (human)
Lineage: Eukaryota; Metazoa; Chordata; Mammalia; Primates; Hominidae
Description: HSALNT0063840
Source: RNAcentral